GAAAACACUAGUGAGUAAUAUUGCAUUUCUGUUGUAUGUUCUUUUAUGGGUGCAUACAAAUAUUCUGAUACGGUUAAAGGUCAUUUAUUUCUGGGUGCUAGGGUCUCCAAAGAAUUGCUUUCAUACAUAUCUAAGCUUAUGCUAUUACAAAGGGAAAAAAAAUCAAUUGCUUCUCUUUAACAAAUAGGCUGAAGCACAAUACGCCAUGUGAUUAUGGCUUAACACAUUUCCUGAAGGCACUUGAUCUUUUUCCAGCUUUCUGCAGUCAAGAGCCAGAAUAAUGUUAUAUUUUUCUUCCCAAUUGAUUGCUUUGUACAACUCAGCUGGAAUGUUUGGCUGAGUUAUUUAUUGACUGGAAAGUACAUAUACUAACUGUAUUUUCUUCUACAAAUGCCAGGGAUAAUUUUAUUGUAUUUUAUUUUAGUGUUUAACCUAAUCAUCUUCUGGUUUCAUGUUUUUGAUCAUGGCAAUUAUCUAUACUUGUCAAUGAGAUCGAAGUUGGAAUGAAUUUGCUCUUUUGCACAAAAAGAUGAAUUGAGUUUAUGAUGUUGGUUGGUUCAUGAUACUUGAUUCGGCGAGACUAAUAGUUGAGUUUAUUAAUGUGUUGAUAAGAUUAUGAUGUAUAAAUUAGAGUUAGUUCAACAAGUUGUAAUGAACUUAAAAGAAGCGAUCACAAUGAAUUAAAAAUUUAAUUCAGUUUUUUUUUUUUUUUUUAACAAAAAAAUUGACUUGCCAAAUCAUCCUAGCAUCUUUUCAAUUCUUCCUCUUCCUCUUGCUUCGUUAUCA
RNAcentral lists this long non-coding RNA (786 nucleotides) under Carica papaya (papaya). RNAcentral describes it as "long non-coding RNA (CPAP_LNC012335)". Lineage: Eukaryota; Viridiplantae; Streptophyta; Magnoliopsida; Brassicales; Caricaceae. The record is from RNAcentral.